GACGAACGCUGGCGGGGUGCUUAACACAUGCAAGUCGAACGAUGAAGCCUUAGCUUGCUUUGGUGGAUUAGUGGCGAACGGGUGAGUAACACGUGAGCAACGUGCCCAGGACUCUGGAAUAACCGCGGGAAACCGUGGCUAAUACCGGAUAGGUGCCGAGGCCGCAUGGUCUUCGGUUGGAAAGUUUUUGCGGUUCUGGAUCGGCUCACGGCCUAUCAGCUUGUUGGUGGGGUAAUGGCCUACCAAGGCGACGACGGGUAGCCGGCCUGAGAGGGUGACCGGCCACACUGGGACUGAGACACGGCCCAGACUCCUACGGGAGGCAGCAGUGGGGAAUAUUGCACAAUGGGCGCAAGCCUGAUGCAGCAACGCCGCGUGGGGGAUGACGGCCUUCGGGUUGUAAACCUCUUUUAGUAGGGAAGAAGCGCAAGUGACGGUACCUGCAGAAAAAGCACCGGCUAACUACGUG
This 469-nucleotide ribosomal RNA is filed under the name uncultured bacterium. RNAcentral's name for it is "partial 16S ribosomal RNA". It matches the Rfam family "Bacterial small subunit ribosomal RNA", at positions 28 to 507 of the family's 1533-position model. The record is from RNAcentral.